This 417-nucleotide unclassified non-coding RNA is filed under the name Hevea brasiliensis (rubber tree). Lineage: Eukaryota; Viridiplantae; Streptophyta; Magnoliopsida; Malpighiales; Euphorbiaceae. The record is from RNAcentral.
UUUUUCACUUUGUAAUUUUCUAGAAAGUUGUUUAGAAGUUUGAUUACUCUCUUUCUUACCGUCUUCCUCAGACACCCAUUAUGUGGAGUAUAUUGAUGAUUAUGUUGCAAGGGAGGGAAAAAAGCUCGAGUGACGAAACAAAAGUAAUCAGAUUGCUUAUUCAAUAUCCUCCACAAACAGAUUUUGAGAUUGAAAAUCUUGUUAACUUGUGUGCCAAUUGAUAUGUUCUUGUUACAAAUACCAUGAACUGUCUUUUCAUGCAUUUAGACUUCUAAAGCUUGUAUCUAAUAUUGUUUCAUCAUUUACUUGCUAGAGCAUAAAUUCCACUACAAGUAGGACGAAUCGAUUGGUUUUCUUCCCGGACAAAAUCACCUGAUUCACAAAAUUGACAUGUACUAGAGCCGUGCUAAUCACCAC